RNAcentral lists this microRNA precursor (168 nucleotides) under Medicago truncatula (barrel medic). RNAcentral's name for it is "MIR2680 microRNA precursor family". It matches the Rfam family "MIR2680 microRNA precursor family". Lineage: Eukaryota; Viridiplantae; Streptophyta; Magnoliopsida; Fabales; Fabaceae. The record is from Rfam by way of RNAcentral.
AUAGGAUCUAGACCUGGCAUAUCUUCAUAGGACCAUGCAAAAAUAUCCGGAUAUUCCCGGAGGAGCUGGACAAUCUUCUGUUUAACCCCUUCCUCUAGAGUAGCACCAACCUUGAUUUCUCGCUUGUUUUCCUCGGUACCUAUGUUGAUAAGCUCAAUCUCUUCCUGG